Molecule: transfer RNA, 67 nt
Filed under: Isophya major
Lineage: Eukaryota; Metazoa; Arthropoda; Insecta; Orthoptera; Tettigoniidae
Description: tRNA-Gly
Rfam family: tRNA
About the family: Transfer RNA (tRNA) molecules are approximately 80 nucleotides in length.
Source: RNAcentral
AAUAUUUACUUAGUAUAAUAGUACAUUUGACUUCCAAUCAAAAAGUUUGAUAAUAUCAAAGUAAAUA